This 465-nucleotide ribosomal RNA is filed under the name uncultured bacterium. RNAcentral describes it as "partial 16S ribosomal RNA". It matches the Rfam family "Bacterial small subunit ribosomal RNA", at positions 28 to 507 of the family's 1533-position model. The record is from RNAcentral.
GACGAACGCUGGCGGCGUGCUUAACACAUGCAAGUCGAACGGAAAGGCCCCUUUGGGGGUACUCGAGUGGCGAACGGGUGAGUAACACGUGAGUAACCUGCCCUUGACUUCGGGAUAACUUCAGGAAACUGGGGCUAAUACCGGAUAGGAAUCCUUGCUGCAUGGUGGGGGUUGGAAAGCUUCGGCGGUUUUGGAUGGACUCGCGGCCUAUCAGCUUGUUGGUGGGGUAGUGGCUUACCAAGGCUUUGACGGGUAGCCGGCCCGAGAGGGCGACCGGCCACAGUGGGACUGGGAUACGGCCCAGACUCCGACGGGAGGCAGCAGUAGGGAAUAUUGCACAAUGGGCGGGAGCCUGAUGCAGCAACGCCGCGUGCGGGAUGACGGCCUUCGGGUUGUAAACCGCUUUCAGCAGGGGCGAAGCUUGUGGUGACGGUACCUGCAGAAGAAGCACCGGCUAACUACGUG